RNAcentral lists this long non-coding RNA (229 nucleotides) under Vigna radiata. Its description in RNAcentral is "long non-coding RNA (VRAD_LNC006201)". Lineage: Eukaryota; Viridiplantae; Streptophyta; Magnoliopsida; Fabales; Fabaceae. The record is from RNAcentral.
UCUGUGAAAGGUUUGCGUGGUGAAUGCAGAAAAAUUAAAAUGAAAUUCAAUUAAAACGCAUAUGUAAAAACGUAAUUAAAUUCAGUUAAAACGAAAUUAAAUGCAACAACACAUUUCACCAUGCAUGAAAAUGAAAUUAAAACAGUAAAAACGAAACUGCUACAGUAAAUACGAAAAUUCACGCUGGAACAGGACAACUUUGACCUUUGCUCAAUGUUUUAUCCAUAAC